AGUGAACGCUGGCGGUAGGCCUAACACAUGCAAGUCGAACGGCAGCACAGUAAGAGCUUGCUCUUACGGGUGGCGAGUGGCGGACGGGUGAGGAAUACAUCGGAAUCUACUUUUUCGUGGGGGAUAACGUAGGGAAACUUACGCUAAUACCGCAUACGACCUACGGGUGAAAGCAGGGGAUCUUCGGACCUUGCGCGAUUGAAUGAGCCGAUGUCGGAUUAGCUAGUUGGCGGGGUAAAGGCCCACCAAGGCGACGAUCCGUGGCUGGUCUGAGAGGAUGAUCAGCCACACUGGAACUGAGACACGGUCCAGACUCCUACGGGAGGCAGCAGUGGGGAAUAUUGGACAAAGGGCGCAAGCCUGAUCCAGCCAUACCGCGUGGGUGAAGAAGGCCUUCGGGUUGUAAAGCCCUUUUGUUGGGAAAGAAAAGCAGCAGGUUAAUACCCCGCUGUUCUGACGGUACCCAAAGAAUAAGCACCGGCUAACUUCGUG
RNAcentral lists this ribosomal RNA (492 nucleotides) under uncultured bacterium. RNAcentral's name for it is "partial 16S ribosomal RNA". It matches the Rfam family "Bacterial small subunit ribosomal RNA", at positions 29 to 507 of the family's 1533-position model. The record is from RNAcentral.